RNAcentral lists this long non-coding RNA (9412 nucleotides) under Manihot esculenta (cassava). RNAcentral's name for it is "long non-coding RNA (MESC_LNC000499)". The record is from RNAcentral. Lineage: Eukaryota; Viridiplantae; Streptophyta; Magnoliopsida; Malpighiales; Euphorbiaceae.
CCAAGCAACAGCUCCACCUUUUGUUUAAAUUCCUCCUUUGUUAUGAUUCCCUUUUCGUCCUUGUCUAACCCCAAACCAAUCUUCCAUACAUCACAAAUGUAGCUUUUGUUAACAAACUGGUCGGUGAAGUAAGGCCAACACAAGAAAGGUACUCCAUUGCUCACGCCUUCUAUGGCAGAGUUCCAACCACAAUGGCUCACAAAACAAGCAAUAGCAGGAUGGCUUAGUACCUUCUGCUGAGGAGCCCAACUGAUAAUUUUUCCAUGGCUGUCUUCAAAUUCAUUUGGGUUCGAUUCUUGGGUACUGUUUCCUGGACGAACCACCCAAAGGAAAGGUUUGUUUGUCAGUUUAAGUCCAAGUGCCAAUUCUUGAAGUUGAGAUUGGUCAAAAAUGGUCAAACUGCCAAAUGCUACAUAUAUCACUGACUGGGAAGGCUGCCGAUCAAGCCAUUUUAGGCACGAGGAGUCCUCCGGCCAGAACUGUGCUCCUGAAUUCCCUGUAUCGUAGCCUGCUAAUAAUGGGCCAAUUGGGAGGAGCUUUGGAACCAAAGAAAAUACCUCAGCCUCAAGUUCAUGAAUUGAGUUGCAUAGCUGCCAUUCAAUCAAUUGUGAAUCUUCCAUUACUCUUUCAAUAUAUUUGAAAAAAGCCUUUUGUGAGUAGGCGUUGCCAACUUUCCAUGCCAAGUUAUCAGAGUCAAAAAUAGGGCCGCUUGGGGAUAUUUGAAUCUUGUGUUUCUUGAUUGCAAAUCCUGUAAAUGAAUCAAAAGGAAAAUGCAUGCAGAGUAUUAGUAGUGAAUUUACGUGGAAUAUCAACAACGCCAAGAAUUUCUUGAGAUUAAAGAAUAAUAAUAACAAUAAAAUCAAGGGAAGCACUUACCAUCACUGUCGAUAUAUCCAUCUCGAUUAAGAUUAGAAAUGUUGGCUAACUGGCAAAAAAUGGCAGCUGAUGCAGGCCAGAACAUUGCAACUCGGAUCCCCAAUUUGUCAGCAACUUCUCUUGCCCACCCCAUAGUUCCAUCAACUAUAAUACAAGUGAAGGGAUGAUUCUUGUUGAUGUCUUCUAUGAGAUCCUGAAACUUUUUGCGCAUGGUGAUCAACAUGGCCUCGCAUAACUUACCAAUGUCAGUUCUAUCAUCCUCAGGAUCCAUCCCAUCUGGGAUUGAUACCAAAUUAACAUCUGAACCUGUAGGUUCGUUUCUGCCAGCCAUUGCACUAAGCACUCUCUUGUGGUUAAAGUCUGUAUUGACAAAAGUGACUUUGGAUCCAAGGUUGGCUAUUCUCCAAGCAAAGUGCAUUAAGGGGUUAACAUGUCCUUGGGCUGGAAAUGGUAGCACUAGAACAUGUGAAUUUUCCAUUUUCCUUUUGCGAUUUGAGAAACAGAACAGAGAAAAUGCGAUCUUAUCUUCCUCUGUUGGCUACGAGGCAAAGGAGUGGCUAAUAAUUUAUUGGCUGCAAGGGCAAAGGAUUAAACAGAAAUUAUAGAAUAUAGCAGUAAUACCGACUAGAAUUUCCUGGUGGGUAUAUUAAUAAAUUAUUUGUAUUUUGACAGGUAUAUUAAAAAAAUAAAAAAGUAUAUUAAUUUUUAUUCUACUAUAUUAGAAGUCUAGAUGGCCCACUGUUAUUUAUAACUUAAAAUAAGUAAUGGUAAAUAAAUAGUUAUACAACCAAUAAUUUUAUCACAAUCAUUAAUUAUGAUAGAUUAUAAAUAUUAAUGAUUAAUGAUUAAUAAUAUCAAAUAAUUUUUUUAAUUUCCAAACUAUUAAAUCUAUUUUUCUCAACAUAGAUAACUAAUAAUCAUUCAUUAAAAUGGCUACUAUAUUAUAGGAGAGCUAAUAAAAUAUAAAUAUAAAAUAUAAAUAAAAGCUAAAUUUACAUAAUUAGAGUGCUAAAUAAAAUUAAAAUAAGAAUAAAUAUGAGAGAAUAAGAAAAUUAAAAGGAAAAAUGAAUAUGAAAAAUGAAAAAUGCCCUUUGAGAGAUCAUUUUGUAAAGGUGAGUGGUUGGUAAAAUUUCCAUUGAGGUAUGAGUUUGUUGCUUCAAUAAUAUCAGUUUAUUUGAGAGGUAUAGAGAUGAAAAAUAAAAAGAACAAGAGAAAACUUGAAAUGAACACCAAAGGAAAUGAGAAGUUAAAAGUGUUGGGUUUUUUUUUUCUUUUUUUUUUAUAUUAUAUCAAUCUCAUUUACAAAACUGAGUAUAAAUAUAUAGAGUACAUGAGACACGUUAGAAAAACUAUUUUAGCUAUAAACAAGAUCUAAGGCUAAGAAUGUGUUGUAUCCUAUGAUAAAAAAAAAAAAAGGGAUUCUAAUAUGCUCUUAUAAUUUCUCUAUUAAAAAUUGAUUUGACGGCUCAUACCAACACUCCCCUCAAGUUAAUGCAUAUAUGUUUUGGAUGCCCAACUUGUCAAGUGAGUUGUAAAAGAUUUUACUGGACACAGUCUUUGUAGGGAUAUCUACUAGUUGGUCUUUAGAUUUAAGAAAAGAAAAAUAAAUUAUUUUUUUCUUCAAGAUUCUUCUUGAUGAAGUGUCGACCCACCUCUACAUGUUUGGUAUGGUCAUGUUGGACAAGAUUAUAAGAGAUAUCAAUUGUUGCUUUGUUGUCAUAAAAGAGAUUCAUCUCAGAGUUAGGAGCAAAACAAUCUCAGUCAAUAAUCUUUUUAGCUAUAGAAGUUCACAAAGGCCUUUUGUCAUUUCUCGGAACUCAGCUUCAACACUAGAUAAUGCUACUACCUUCUAUUUCUUGCUUCUCCAAGUAACCAGAUUGCCUUCUACAAAAGUAAAAUAGCCUGAGUGGACUUUCUAUCAGAAGUAUUCCCUGUCCAAUCUGCAUAUGUGUAACCAUCAAUACUUAUGUGAUUAUUUUUUGUAAACAUAAUUCCAUGAGAAGACUUUAGAUAGCGAAGAAUUUGAAUCACUACAUCCAUAUGACUUUCACUUGGGCAAUACAUGAAUUGGCUUACUACACUCACAAUAUAAGCAAUAUCUAGGCGUGUAUGUGAUAAGUAAAUAUAUUUUUCAACUUAUUGUUGAUAUCUCUCUCUGAUCAGAGUAUUCUCCAAGCUUAUGAUUCUGUAUAAUUGGAGUAUUAGCUGGCUUAUAGUCCAACAAUCUUGCUUCACACAACAAAUCUAGAAUGUAUUUUCUUUUUGAGAGAAAAAUAGCGAUCUUGCUACUUCAAUCCCCAAAAAAUAUUUGUAAUACCCGGCUAGACUCCGGUAUCGGAAUUCCUACCGUCUGGUGGAAUCUCGGGUGUUCGAAAACCUCUAAAAGGGUAAAACCAUGUUUUCAUAAAAUGUUUUAAUGUGUUUUAUGUUUUAAGCAUGAAAGAAAAUGAGUUUUUGCAUGAAAACAACCUUGGAGGAAAACUCAGGUUCGGCCGCCGAACCUCAAGUUCGGCCGCCGAACAUGCAUGCGCUUCGGGAGUGCUUUAGGCCCCCGAAGGCAUAAGUGAGGGAAGUCCAGGUUCGGCUGCCGAACCUUAUGUUCGGCCGCCGAACAUGGCAUGCAUGCGGAGGCACUUUCGGCUCCCGAACGUGGCCUGGCCAGCCACCUAUAAAGGGAUCCCUUAGCCGAAAUGGGUGAGCUUUUCUCCCCAUUUUCGGCCAAGGUGAGCUCUCCGCCAUCCCUCGCCGGUUUUGAGUUCCUUCCUUCAAAUCUUUCUCGAUUUUCAUUAGUUUUACUCUUGUUUUGAAGAUUUUGAGCUUUUGAGCAAGUUUUGGAGUUUGGAGGUUCAAGGAACUCUCUCUCUCCCAUUUUUCAAGCUAGGGUCGUUCUCCUCUCGAUCUUCAAGAGGUAAUGGUCGAUCUUGAGCUUAUUGCAUGUUUUAAGUAAGUUUUAAGUAGAUCUAUGGUAUAGAAUGCAUGUUUAGUUUAUGGUUGGGUUUAUAGGUUUAUGUUAUGUUUUUGGACAAUGUGGAUGUUUGAUGUGUUGUAGAUGGGGUUUAAGAUAGUUUGAAACCCUUAGGAACUUGUAUGCUUGAGUAUGUAUGUUGUAGAUUAGGAAAAAUGCAUGUUGGAUGGUUUUGGGAGGCAAAUGUGCAUGAGGAGCUGAAGUUUCUGCCCUUUGGCAGAAACCAGGUUCGGCAGCCGAAGGACUUUCGGCCGCCGAACAUGGCUGGGAGGCAAGCCUUUCGGCUGCCGAAGCCUGCCCCCGAAAAGAGACUUUCGUCUCUGGAGGGCACUUUCGGCCGCUGAAGGUGCCGCCAAACCUACCUGAAUUUCGGCUCUGGAGGGACUUUCGGCCGCCGAAGGUGCCGCCGAAAGUGCCCUGUGCAGCCCUCCUUUGCAUGUUUUUCUAUGAUGUUUUGAGGUGUUUUAAGGGGGUUUUUGGGGAGUAUUUUAGAGUCAUGUUCUAGUAUAUUUGGUCCCUCAUUUGAGUCCACCUGUGUGGGUUCGGACCCGAGGAACCGAAGACCCCAGCAGUGAGUUCAGCUGCUUCGGUGUUGUCAAAGUCAGCCAAAGGUGAGUGGAACUAAACUUAAUCUUUUAAAUUGAGAAAUUAAAUGUUUAUCAUGUUUCAUGCAUCAUGAGUAUGCAAUAGGAUGAUUGCAUUAGAUUUCACGAAUAUGUUGCAUUGCAUUCUUUAUUGUUGAUGUGGGUGAAUGUUGGAUGACCCAAUUAGUCCCUGAGGGAAGAUUAGGAUCCCAUUCUACGGCCUGGCACGGAUAUGGGACUCGAAGACCAGGAGCCCAGAGGAGGCCCUGGGGCAAUGGUAAGUAAUGUAUGAUAUGACAGGAAGACCAGGACCCCAUGCUACGGCCUGGCACAAAUGAUGCUGGGACUAUUUGGUGACAAGUUCACCCAACCCUUAUGUGAAUUGUCUGUGUUAUGAUGCAUUUCAUUGGAGCAUGUUUGUUAAUAUGUUUUUAUGGUUCUACUCACUGGGCUUUUAGCUCAUCCCUCUCCCUUUAACCCCCAGGCUUGCAGGUACAGGAUAGAGCAGGAAGUCGGUUAGAGUAAAGUCAUGGUUAUGUAAUAGCUAGCAGUGGACAUGAUUAAAUUGUAAUGUAAUGUCUUAUACAGUUAUGAUAUGUAAUGAUGAUGUAUUGAGGUUUAGAAAUUGUGCUUGACCGAGUUUGUAUAGUAAUCCCUUUUGAUACAUGAUCUAUAGAAUAUUUUAUGAUGUUUAUGUUCAACCAAGCUUAAUUCAUGUAUGGUAUGAUACCCCAUUGGAGCAUUUGAUGAGGGCUCCAGUGUGUGGUUUAUGUUAUGUUAUGAGUAUGCACAGGUUGAGCUUGGUUUAUGGAAAGAAAAAGUUUACAGGUUUAUGAGUAUGUAUGAUCAUGUAUGGGAUUUGACAGGUUCACAGGUUAUAUGUCAGGCUUGCUACGGGUCCCGGCGGCCUUAAGCCGAUCUGGAUCCUAACGCCGGUAGCGGUCCGAUUUUCGGGUCGUUACAAUAUUUGAGCCUUCCAAGAUUCCUCAUCUCAAAUUCGGUUGCCAAUUGUCUUUGGAGUUUAAAGAUUUCUUCAAAGUCAUUUCCUGUAGGGAAAAUUACUUCUUAGUCCCUAAGGUUUAACGUAAUUAACACUUCUGUCCCUCUAUUUUGGCGACCCAACACUUAAGUCCCUCGCUUUCUCUUCCAUCCAAAUUCGUAGUCCUUCCGUCCAUUUAAACCGUUUGGUCAAAGAGUCAAAAGUGAGAGGUGAUAAUUUUUUUCAAAAAUACCCUUCUCUCAAUGUGAAAUUCCUAUUUUUUUUUCUCUUUCAUGUUUUCUCCAGUUGAAGAAGAAGAAGAAGAAGAAGAAGAAGAAGAAGAAGAAGAAGAAGAAGAAGUUGCAGAAAGGGUAGGAAGAAGAAGAAGAAAGAAGAAGAAGAAAAAGAAGAAGUUGCAAAAAGGGUAGGAAGAAGAAGAAGAAGAAGAAGAAGAAGAAGAAGAAGAAGAAGAAGAAGUUGCAGAAAGGGUAGGAAGAAGAAGAAGAAGAGGCAUUUGAGUUUGGGUUUAGUGAGGGUUAAUUUUAUCAAUUCACGUGUCCCAAACGGCUAUUUUAGACGGAAGGACUACGAAUUUGGAUAGAAAAUAAAGUGAGAGACUUAAGUGUUGGGUCGUCAAAAUAGAGGGACAGAAGUGUUAAUUACGUUAAACCUCAGGGACUAAAAAAUAAUUUUUCCUUUCCUGUAAUAAUUAUUUUCUAUAAUAAUCAUAUCAUCUACAUAGAUUAUUAAAGCUAUAACUUUCUCUAAUUGGUAUUUUAGGAAUAAAGUAUGGUUUGAAUUGCUCUGUUGGAACCCAUACUUCUUUAUAGCUAGGCUAAACCGUGCAGAUCAUGCUCGGGGUGAUUGUUUUUAAUCCAUACAAGGUCUAUUGCAACUUACAUACUACUUUAGUCUUUGAAGAUGAGGCGUACCCAGGUGGAAUAUCCAUGUAAACUUCCUCAUCGAGAUCCCCAUGAAGAGAAGUAUUCUUCACAUCAAAACUGGUGCAAAGGCCAAUCCAAGUUUGUUGCAAGAGAUAACAAAACUAUAACAGUAUUUAGUUUUACUACGGGAGAAAAAGUCUCUUGAUGAUCUAUGCCAUAUGUCUGUGUGUAUUCUUUUGCUACGAGUCUCGCCUUGUAUCUAUCAGUAGACCCAUUGGCCUUGUAUUUAAUGGAGAAAAUUCAUUUGCACCCAACUGUCUUCUUUCCCUCUGGAAAAGGUAUCAAAGUCCAUGUUUUAUUCUUCUGCAAUGCCUCCAUUUCUUCUUUUAUAGCAUUGGUCCAUCUUGGGUCCAUUAAGUCUUCUUCUACUCUAUAUAGAAUAUGGUAUGAGAAUAAAGUAUACAAAAAACCCUUGAGAGGCUCUGGCAAUUUCUAAGUAGACACAUAAUUGGCAGUUGAGUAUCUUUGAUUUUUUUUUUCCCUUCAAUAUCUGGAGAGUAUCUAUUUGGUGGCUUUCCUCGAUUAUUCCUGAAGGGUAAGACAUAGCCAGCAGAAGCAUCUAAGUUAGUAACAAGUGAAUGUGUGGUGAGAGAGCUUAUCUCAAGACUAUUCUCAAGAGAAGGGUCUGUAGUUACUAAAGGGGUGACACAGCUGGAUUCAGAUGAUAUAGAUUCUAUAGAUUCCGUUCUUGGAGACAUAUUGACUUCAUUACCAUUUGGUUUCUCCCCAACUAUUAUUUCAUUAUCAACUUGCUCUGAAUUUUCUCCAAACACAAGCCAUUCAAAAUUUAUACAGUUCUGCUCUUCAUUUUGCACCUGCCCCUCAAGAGGUGAAGUGGAUAAUGGUGGUGGAAAGAAAGUGUCUGACUCUAAGAAGGUAGCAUCCAUAGUAGCAUAAGUGCACUUAGUGAUGGGAUCGUAACAACAAUAGCCCUUUUUCUGUAAAGCAUACCCAAAAAACUGCAGCGAACAUCAUAAAGAUUUAGGUUACUUUGCUGAUUUUUGUGAAGAUGGGCAAAGACAACACAACCAAACACCCGGAGAGGAAUGAACAAUACAAUAGGUAAAGAAACAUAACUAGAAAGUACAUGUAACAGGAUCUUGAAAUUUACGACUUUCGAAGGCAUCCGGUUUAGCAAAUGUAUUGUUGUGGCAAUAGCAUCAUCCCAGUAGCUACUAGAUACAUGUGCUCCGAUUAAUAAAGCAUGAGCUAUUUCUAGAAUAUGUUGAUUCUUCCGAUCAGCAAUGCCAUUUUGUUUGAGAGCAUGAGGUUUCAUGUAAAAGACCAUGGCUCUUGAAGUAAGUUUGAAAGUGUUGAUUAACAUAUUCACCACCAUUAUCUGAAUUAAGGACUUGAAUUUUUAUUGAAAAUUGAUUCUGAAUCAUUACAUGGAAAGUCUGGAACACAUUAAAUAUCUUAUUUUUAUGUUUCAAUAAGUAAAGUCAAGUUAUUCGGUUGCAAUCAUCCACAAAGGUUACAAACCAUAAAUGCCAGAAGAAGUAGUGAUUGGGGAGGAUCCCCACACAUUUGAAUUUUGAAUACAGCUUAGAGUUAUAAAUUGAUCUCUCAAAAUCAUAAAUCUUUUAUAAAUUGACCUCUCAAAUCAUAAAUCUUAUCUCCUAUGAAUCACAUUUAAUGCAAAUUAAAAUUUAAGCAUAUUUAUUUUAGUUAAAAAUAAGCAAGCAUAAAUUACAAAAGAAUAAUGUUGUUUUUUUUUUCCUAAAUUGCUAUCAUUUAUAGUCAGUUUUAAUUUUUUUACAUUUUUAUUAAUUUUAGUCUUAUUUGAAAAUUUUAUAUUUUUUUAAUUUGUAAUCGAAAUUUAAAUUGUGAGUUGUUAAGUGACGGGGAUACAUAACAUGAAUAUUAAUAUUAGUAUGAAUUUAAUGUAAUUUUUUUCUUUCCAUAAUUUUUUUUAUUUAGAUGGUUUUAGAUUUUGGAGCUUUUACUAUGAAUUUCAAGCUCUUGUAUACUUAACUUUUAAUUUAAGACUUGUAUUUUUAGCUCAUGUAUUCAUUUUUCCUUAUCAAUGUAAACAUUUACUUUAUUUUUAAUUUAAUAAGUAUUAGUAAAAUUAAUGCACAUAUUUUUUUAAUUUAAUUUCAAACCAUGUACAAAAAUACCAACUUAUUAUUAUAUUACUUAAAAUAAUUUCUUCCAAUUAUAAAUUUUUUUUUUUUUUAAAUAGGGGGUUGGGGGAGUCGAACCUUAGACCUUUCAAGACUACAAGAUGCACUUUCCACCAGGCUAAACCUUGGAGUGCUUCUAAUUAUAAAUUUAACAUAUCAAAUAUAAAGUUAUUUUCAUUAUAAUUUUUAAGAAACACAUAGAAUUAUAAGAGUAUUUAUAUUUAUGUAAAUUGUUGAUUCAAUAAAUAAAAAUAUCGCUUAAUUAUUUAUUAAUAUUGAAAGCAAAAUUAAAAUAAGAUUCACUCAAACAUAGCAUAGCAACAAAUACUACAUAAUUCAAAUGCUUGUUCAAUAGUCCAUGAGAGAUAAACCAAUAGUCCUUCCACAGAGACUCCUUGAAAAGAUGACAUCUCCCCCAACCUAGGCAUCCACCCACUUGAUGAAGUUGCUAAAAUUUGUGGAGGACUGACCACCUUCUCCGAUAUUAUUUUCAGCAAUUUGCUUCAGCUCCAAGGCCUUUUUUCUUAUAAUUUUAUCCCCAAGCAAUAGCUCCACCUUUUGUUUAAAUUCCUCCUUUGUUAUGAUUCCUUUUUCAUCCUUCUCUAACCCCAAACCAAUCUUCCAUACAUCACAAAUGUAGCUCUUGUUAACAAACUGGUCACCAAAGUAAGGCCAACACAAGAAAGGGAUUCCAUUGCUCACGCCUUCUAUGGUAGAGUUCCAGCCACAAUGGCUUACAAAACAAGCAAUAGCAGGAUGGCUUAGUACCUUCUGCUGAGGAGUCCAACUGAUAAUUUUUCCAUGGCUGUCUUCAAAUUCAUUUAGGUUCGAUUCUUGGGUACUGGUUCCUGGACGAACCACCCAAAGAAAAGGUUUGUUUGUCAGUUUAAGUCCAAGUGUCAAUUCUUGAAGUUGAGAUUGGUCAAAAAUGGUGAAAC